Molecule: ribosomal RNA, 470 nt
Filed under: Fusarium equiseti
Lineage: Eukaryota; Fungi; Ascomycota; Sordariomycetes; Hypocreales; Nectriaceae
Description: eukaryotic LSU rRNA
Rfam family: 5.8S ribosomal RNA (bases 114-267)
Source: RNAcentral
UAUACGUUGCCUCGGCGGAUCAGCCCGCGCCCCGUAAAACGGGACGGCCCGCCCGAGGACCCCUAAACUCUGUUUUUAGUGGAACUUCUGAGUAAAACAAACAAAUAAAUCAAAACUUUCAACAACGGAUCUCUUGGUUCUGGCAUCGAUGAAGAACGCAGCAAAAUGCGAUAAGUAAUGUGAAUUGCAGAAUUCAGUGAAUCAUCGAAUCUUUGAACGCACAUUGCGCCCGCCAGUAUUCUGGCGGGCAUGCCUGUUCGAGCGUCAUUUCAACCCUCAAGCUCAGCUUGGUGUUGGGACUCGCGGUAACCCGCGUUCCCCAAAUCGAUUGGCGGUCACGUCGAGCUUCCAUAGCGUAGUAAUCAUACACCUCGUUACUGGUAAUCGUCGCGGCCACGCCGUAAAACCCCAACUUCUGAAUGUUGACCUCGGAUCAGGUAGGAAUACCCGCUGAACUUAAGCAUAUCAAU